CCCUUAGAUGUUCUGGGCUGCACGCGCGCUACACUGACAUACUCAGCAAGUUUCCUUUCCCGAAAGGGUUGGGUAAUCUUGUUAGUGUAUGUCGUGAUGGGGAUAGAAUAUUGUAAUUAUUGCUCUUUAACGAGGAAUUCCUAGUAAGCGCAAGUCAACAGCUUGCGCUGAUUACGUCCCUGCCCUUUGUACACACCGCCCGUCGCUCCUACCGAUUGGGUGAUCCGGUGAAUGGUUCGGACUCUGGCUAUGCUAGCUACUAGCUACGUCAGGGAAAGUUCUGUGAACCUUAUCACUUGGAGGAAGGAGAANUCGUANCA
This 320-nucleotide ribosomal RNA is filed under the name uncultured eukaryote. Its description in RNAcentral is "partial 18S ribosomal RNA". It matches the Rfam family "Eukaryotic small subunit ribosomal RNA", at positions 1470 to 1796 of the family's 1831-position model. The record is from RNAcentral.